UACAGAGGUCUCAAGCGUUGUUCGGAUUCAUUGGGCGUAAAGGGUGCGUAGGUGGUUGGGUAAGUCAAAUGUGAAAUCCCGGAGCUCAACUCCGGAACUGCAUUCGAUACUGCCCGGCUCGAGGAUUGGAGAGGCAAUCGGAAUUCACGGUGUAGCAGUGAAAUGCGUAGAGAUCGUGAGGAACACCCGUGGCGAAGGCGGGUCUCUGGACAAUUCCUGACACUGAGGCACGAAGGCCAGGGGAGCAAACGGG
RNAcentral lists this ribosomal RNA (253 nucleotides) under uncultured bacterium. RNAcentral describes it as "partial 16S ribosomal RNA". It matches the Rfam family "Bacterial small subunit ribosomal RNA", at positions 524 to 776 of the family's 1533-position model. The record is from RNAcentral.